UGGGGAAUUUUGCGCAAUGGGCGAAAGCCUGACGCAGUAACGCCGCGUGGAGGAUGAAGGCCUUCGGGUUGUAAACUCCUGUCAGGGGGAACGACGGAGCAAGGGUGACAAACCUUUUCCUCCAGACGGUACCUCCAAAGGAAGCCCCGGCUAAUUCCGUGCCAGCAGCCGCGGUAAUACGGAAGGGGCGAGCGUUGUUCGGAAUCAUUGGGCGUAAAGGGCGCGUAGGUGGUUCUGUAUGUCUACCGUGAAAGCGUACGGCUCAACCGUAUUUUGUCGGUAGAAACUGCAGGACUUGAGGCUGGGAGGGGCUGGUGGAAUUCCCUGUGUAGCGGUGAAAUGCGUAGAGAUAGGGGAGAACACUCGUGGCGAAGGCGGCCAGCUAGACCAGUUCUGACACUGAGGCGCGACAGCGUGGGGAGCAAACA
Molecule: ribosomal RNA, 428 nt
Filed under: uncultured bacterium
Lineage: Bacteria
Description: bacterial SSU rRNA
Rfam family: Bacterial small subunit ribosomal RNA
Source: RNAcentral